This 998-nucleotide ribosomal RNA is filed under the name uncultured Clostridium sp. Its description in RNAcentral is "bacterial SSU rRNA". It matches the Rfam family "Bacterial small subunit ribosomal RNA", at positions 460 to 1460 of the family's 1533-position model. Lineage: Bacteria; Bacillati; Bacillota; Clostridia; Eubacteriales; Clostridiaceae. The record is from RNAcentral.
CGCCCUUAAGUGACGGUACCUGAAUAAGAAGCCCCGGCUAACUACGUGCCAGCAGCCGCGGUAAUACGUAGGGGGCAAGCGUUAUCCGGAAUUACUGGGUGUAAAGGGAGCGUAGGCGGCACGCCAAGCCAGAUGUGAAAGCCCGAGGCUUAACCUCGCGGAUUGCAUUUGGAACUGGCGAGCUAGAGUACAGGAGAGGAAAGCGGAAUUCCUAGUGUAGCGGUGAAAUGCGUAGAUAUUAGGAAGAACACCAGUGGCGAAGGCGGCUUUCUGGACUGAAACUGACGCUGAGGCUCGAAAGCGUGGGGAGCAAACAGGAUUAGAUACCCUGGUAGUCCACGCCGUAAACGAUGAGUGCUAGGUGUCGGGGAGGAAUCCUCGGUGCCGCAGCUAACGCAAUAAGCACUCCACCUGGGGAGUACGACCGCAAGGUUGAAACUCAAAGGAAUUGACGGGGGCCCGCACAAGCGGUGGAGCACGUGGUUUAAUUCGAAGCAACGCGAAGAACCUUACCAAGGCUUGACAUCCCGAUGACCGCUCUAGAGAUAGAGUUUCUCUUCGGAGCAUCGGUGACAGGUGGUGCAUGGUUGUCGUCAGCUCGUGUCGUGAGAUGUUGGGUUAAGUCCCGCAACGAGCGCAACCCUUAUCCUUAGUAGCCAUCAUUGAGUUGGGCACUCUAGGGAGACUGCCGUGGAUAACACGGAGGAAGGUGGGGAUGACGUCAAAUCAUCAUGCCCCUUAUGUCUUGGGCUACACACGUGCUACAAUGGCUGGUAACAGAGUGAAGCGAGACGGCGACGUUAAGCAAAUCACAAAAACCCAGUCCCAGUUCGGAUUGUAGUCUGCAACUCGACUACAUGAAGCUGGAAUCGCUAGUAAUCGCGAAUCAGAAUGUCGCGGUGAAUACGUUCCCGGGCCUUGUACACACCGACGGUCACACCAUGGGAGUUGGAAGCACCCGAAGUCGGUGACCUAACCGUAAGGAAGGAGCCGCCGAA